Molecule: long non-coding RNA, 5583 nt
Filed under: Theobroma cacao (cacao)
Lineage: Eukaryota; Viridiplantae; Streptophyta; Magnoliopsida; Malvales; Malvaceae
Description: long non-coding RNA (TCAC_LNC000037)
Source: RNAcentral
UGCAAACACAGCAAACAAGAGACAUCAAAGAAGUGUUUUAUAACGUGGAACAACUUGCUGGGGAAGUGAGAAGAUUGAGUUCCAAAGGGGCGUCCGGUAGCGACAAUGGGACGUUUAGUGAGGUUGCAGUUGUGGGUUCAUGCGAACCUCCUAAGCCUCAAGGGGAAGUUGUUGGAUUCGAUGCGCCCUUGACCGAGCUAAAGAUGAAGCUUUUUAAAGAUGGGGUGUCGGUCAUUGUUGUGUCUGCUCAGGGUGGAUCCGGGAAGACAACCUUGGUUCAAGAGCUAUGUCGGGAUGAAGGAGUCAAAGGUAUCAUUUCCUGUGCUUAGCUUUGUUUAUGCUUGAUUUUUAGUUUCUGGUUCUUGACUGGUUUGAUUAUUAGAUGCACAUCUGUUGAUUUGGUUAUGUCACAAGUGGAAACCAGAGUGGAAUGGCUAGCUUAACUUGAAUAAAUUUUGGAAGUAGGAGAAAAUGUUUCUUCUGAAAAUUCAUUUGGAAUAGUUGUGAAUCCUUUGGAAGACGUUAUUUGUCAAAUCCAAUUGAAUUAAACACUUUGCCAUGUAAGACUUCGAGUGUAGAAUAACUAGAUAACUGUUCAAGCAUUUGGUAAAGAUAUUUUAUGAGUAAUUUUGAUUGUAGUUGGAAUGAUUUCCUUUGUGCGGUCCUUCAACUGGAAUUCUACUGAGGCAAGCGAUUGAGAAAUUUUGGAUUCUAUUUUACCAAAUUUUCAUGCAUUAAAAUCGGGGAAUAUGUUUGUCACUUGCAAAAUGCUAUAAAUUAUCUUUGAAACUUUGCCAGAUUUCUAAUGCGAUGUUUGAACAGGAAAAUUUAAAGAAAACAUCUUCUAUGUGACUGUUUCAAAGGCACCCAACCUGGAGGUCAUUUUGCAGAAAUUACUCCGGCUUAAGGAUUCUAGAAUGCCUGAAUUUCAGAAUGAGGAGGAUGCCCUGAACCACUUGGAACAAAACUUCAGGAAAAUGGCAACCAAUCCCAUAUUACUCAUCCUGGACGAUGUUUGGUCUGGAUCUGAAUCCCUUGUUGAGAAGUUAAAGUUUACAUUGCCAGAUUACAAGAUCUUGGUAACAUCAAGAUUUGCCUUUCCAAGAUUUGAUUUUACAUAUCGUCUGAAACCAUUAAAUGAUGAUGAUGCUAUGACUCUGUUUCGUCACUUUGCAUUCUCGAAAGAUGUGGAUCCUGACAUUUCAGAUGAUCUCGUGAAUAAGGUAUUUUUAUCAAUCUGAAGACUCGUUCUAACUUUCACCCCUUGUAUGAAACUUUGAACACUUUCAUACUUCACUGUUGAUUUGCCACUGUAAUUUAGAUUAAAGAUCGAAAGGUUCAAAUCUUUAUAUUUGUAUACCAAGGUCGGUUUAAUUAAAGUGUUUUCCUGAACCUCCAAAAAAUGACUUUGAUGUUGUGUAACGAAUUUUAGGUAAUGAAAAGCUGUAAGGGACUCCCACUGGCCCUUGACGUGGUUGGUAGAUCACUUCGUGGGCAACCUGGUACAAUCUGGCGACGUAGAGCAAAGCAGCGGUCUAAAGGAGAAUCCAUCUUUAAUUCUAGCAAUGAGCUGCUUACUUGUCUUCAAAGCAGUUUAGAUGCAUUGGAUAGUAAGGCAGGAAUAAGGGACUGCUACCUGGACCUAGGUUCGUUCCCUGAAGAUCACUGGAUUCCUGCUACUGCCCUCAUUGAUAUGUGGGUUGAGCAGUACAAACUUGAUGAAGAUGAUGAUGCCAUUUUCAACCUCCAUGAACUCUCUACCAGGAAUCUAGUUAAUCUUGUAGUCGUGAGGUAUGCUAGUCAGUUCUUACUUUCUAUCUACUGUAACUUUAGCAUCCAUGUCCUGCCAUUCUCAUUUUAUUCUCUUCAAUCUAUCCAUAUUAUAGGGUUUCUCCCGUUGUACCCUAUAAUUCCAUUAAUCUGAAUGUAAAUCAAGCAGGACAGAUCUUCAACCUUGCUUCCCUUAUCAGAUAGGCACUAAGUUAUUGUUUAUGGUACAUGUUUGAAUCUCUACCCAACAGAUUUCUUUUUGCUUAUUCACCAGGAAAGAUGCACGUGAAGCUGAUGGCUACUACAAAGAGCACUUUGUCACGCAACAUGAUCUUCUCAGAGAGCUGGCUAUCUAUCAGAGCAGCUUGGACCCCGUGGAAAAAAGAAAGAGGUUAAUUGUAGAGCUAAGCCGCAACAAUUUUCCCAAUUGGUGGUUGGAAGAAAAGCAGCAAACUCUUGGUGCCCGCCUUUUGUCUAUCUCCACAGGUUGUUAUCUCUACCUUCAGACACAUGCACACACAAUAAGAAAUUUAGUCCUUCUACCCUAAGUUCUCGUGCCAUUUUUUACCUCAUCACAGAUGAAACAUUCACAUUCAGCUGGGGCAACAUCCAAGCACCAGAAGUUGAGGUUGUAGUUCUCAAUUUUCGGACGAAGAACUACACCUUGCCUGUCUUCAUGGAGAAAAUGGAUAAAUUGAAGGUUUUGAUAGUCACGAAUAGCAGUUUCUACCCAGCUGAAUUAAGUAACUUUCUGCUUCUGUGUUCUUUAUCGAAUCUAAGGAGAAUUAGGUUAGAGAAGGUGUCAGUUCCUUCCCUCAGCAUGAGCUCUUUACACCUAAAGAAUUUGGAAAAAAUAUCCUUAUAUAUGUGUAAUAUCGGUCAGGCUUUUGGGAAUGGCACUAAGAAGAUGUCAGAUAUUUUUCCGAAUCUUUUGGAAAUUGACAUUGACUAUUGUGAUGAUCUGGUGGAACUGACUGAUGGGUUGUGUGAUCUUGUUCAUCUGAUGAAGCUCAGUAUCACUAACUGCCACAAGCUUUGUGCACUGCCUGAAGGCAUUGGAAAGCUGGUAAACUUAGAAGUGCUAAGGCUAGCAUCCUGUACCGAUCUCGUGAGGUUGCCCGAGACCAUUGGGAGCUUAUCCCAGCUUAAUAUUUUUGACAUUUCCGACUGCCUGAGCAUCAUCAACAUGCCGGUCCAGAUUGGGGAACUGCACAAUCUAAGGAAGCUCUAUAUGAGAGGGUGCUCUAGUUGUAACCUACCUCCAACAAUCACAAAGCUUCAACGUUUGAAGGAUGUCAUAUGCGAUGAGGAGACUGCCUAUCAAUGGGAUUGUUUCAAAUCCUAUCUCAGCAAUCUAAGGGUAACAGUUCAUGAAGAAGACAUCAACUUGAACUGGCUCCGGACUUGUUUUUAAGAUUCCUCUCUUCUCAUGUGGUGCUGGAGCCUCCUUUCUUUUCAUAUACGUUAGUCUCCUUUACGUAUUUAUCACCACUCAUUGAAAUUUAGUGGUUAGGUUGGAAGACACUCCAACCAAACAAAUUUAUUUUUAUUAUUAAAAAAAAAUUGAUUGUAGAACAUAAUUAAAAAGAAAACCCCUUUCGACAACUUAGCCAGAAAAUGAACAAUAAUUUGGAAUACUAAAUGAGUUUCAAUAUGGACAAUUAAUUUUUUUUCUUACUCUAAACCUGUGGUAGUUACAUAAUACUACCAAGAAACCAACUCUACAUAAAAACUUGAAAGGUACGUGUUACACAAAGUAAAACACUCCAUAGCAGCAGAAGCAGCUAUCGCGCUAGACACAGUAAAUUUAUUCAACUUAGAAACCAUGCUCAUUUCCUUCAUUCUGUACAGCUCCAAAGCUUCUUUAGGCCUAUCGAAACGAACAUAACCCGAAAUCAUCGCGGUCCACGAGAAAUUAUCUCUUUCAGGCAUUUCAUCAAACAACUUAUUUGCUUCUUUAAGCAUUCCCAUUUUAGCAUACCCAGACAUCAAAGUGUUCCAAGAACACAAAUCCCUGUCACUCAUUUCAUCGAAAACAUUCUGGGCAUCUGCCAAACUCCCGCACUCGGCGUACAUAUAAAAGGCGGUUAUAAAUAACUACGCCGGCUGAAAACCCAGAAAUUUUUUUAUGUUGGUGAACUGAUUUGCCCUCGUUAAGAGCUCUGUUUUGGCAGCAAAGCUGGAUAAGAGCGGAGUAGAGAGAAGCUGGGGGUUUCUCGAUUUGAUUGAGGAUUUGAAUAGCUUCUUUUAAGAGUUUCUGGUUCCAUAAAUUAUGUAAUUGGUUUAUUAGAUUGUCUUUGGUGUUUGGUUUGAAAAAUGUUUUCUGAGGGAAAUGUUUAUGAAUUUAGGUUUGGGAAGAAAACCAAGAAGAGAAUAUUGCUCUGUUUUUGUGAAACAAAGAUAAAGAAUUGGAAAUUCUGGAAUUUAUUGAUUUCAUUGUUUUAAGAAAUUUUCGUGUAAAAUGUGGUUUCCGCUAUGGUGAUGAUUUUCUACUUUUAGUGUGAAAUUUGAAAUCAAGACUUUUAUAGAGAGAUGGAAGCCUGAUUCAAGGUGAAUUUGGGCCAAAACACGAGCAACAAGCUCAAUGUUAAAACCCAAUCCAAAAGAUUGUUUACAUUAAUAUUAAUUAUAAAUACAUUUUAAUUUACAUUUAGUUAAAAUUUAUUUAUUAUUAUUUUUUUGGGUGCUGUUCUUUUCGUCCAUCACAUGUUGGGAGUUGGGACAUGGGAGUGGGAAAAGUAGUUUCAGUGUUUCACAGUAAAUCUUAAGACGCACGCCUAGGCUUUGUCCUUUUUCUGACUGUGACCAAGGCGUCGGAGACCUUAGCUAAACAACCAUUUUAAGAGCUCGUAAGAAGGGAGGCCAGCAUUAAUAGACUUUCGUCAACAUUAACUCGACUAUUUUCCACUCUUUAGGUCCCAUUAUAAUUAAAGUAAAGAUUCCCGUACCCGAAGGAAAUUUCCAGGGGGCAGGAGCUUCUUCAUUAAGGAAUAUGGGGAAUAUAUAUAUAUAUAUAAAAAAAAGCGGAUUCCUUUAUUUGGGGAAUUCUUGCCAAGUUCAGAUGAAAACAUUAAUAUUUCUUGAAUUUUGGUUCUUGGGGUUUCCACAAAGAUUUUUAUGGCAGCAGCUUUGGUCGGAGGAGCGGCCUUAGGGGCAGUUUUUGGAGAGCUGCUUAGAGCCGUUGUAGAAGCGAGGAAAACACUUGCCCAGUUCCGUGAUGCCUUGGCGGAACUGGAAUCCACGCUAUCAUCCAUACAGCCAACAAUCAAAGCCAUAGAAUCACUCAACAAACUUCAUGACAGGGAGCACGAAAUGAAACCGUUCAUGGAAAUCAUUUGUACAGGAGAGAAACUUGUCAGGCAGUGCUUCAAAGUCCAUAGGUGGAACUUCCCCAAGAAGACUUGUUAUACAUACAAACUUCGUGGAUUGAAGAAAAAGCUCGACAGCUUCUGUCUGAUUAAUAUGCAAAUACAGCUAUUAAGAGACAACAAAGAAACGUCUUAUAAAAUGGAACAACUUGCUGGGGAAGUGAGAAGAUUGAGUUCCAAAGGGGCGUCCGGUAGCGACAAUGGGACGUUUAGUGAGGUUGCAGUUGUGGGUUCAUGCGAACCUCCUAAGCCUCAAGGGGAAGUUGUUGGAUUCGAUGCGCCCUUGACCGAGCUAAAGAUGAAGCUUUUUAAAGAUGGGGUGUCGGUCAUUGUUGUGUCUGCUCAGGGUGGAUCCGGGAAGACAACCUUGGUUCAAGAGCUAUGUCGGGAUGAAGGAGUCAAAGGUAUCAUUUCCUGUGCUUAGCUUUGUUUAUGCUUGAUUUUU